RNAcentral lists this unclassified non-coding RNA (378 nucleotides) under uncultured Chlamydiales bacterium. Its description in RNAcentral is "contains 16S-23S intergenic spacer region". Lineage: Bacteria; Pseudomonadati; Chlamydiota; Chlamydiia; Chlamydiales. The record is from RNAcentral.
UCCCGGUUAACCCGGGCAGUCUCGCUAGAGUGCCCAACAUGACUUGCUGGCAACUAACGAUAAGGGUUGCGCUCGUUGCGGGACUUAACCCAACACCUCACGGCACGAGCUGACGACAGCCAUGCAGCACCUGCACAGAGGCCCUUGCGGGAGUCUCUAUCUCUAGAGCGGUCCUCUGCAUGUCAAGCCUGGGUAAGGUUCUUCGCGUUGCAUCGAAUUAAACCACAUGCUCCACUGCUUGUGCGGGUCCCCGUCAAUUCUUUUGAGUUUCACCCUUGCGAGCGUACUCCUCAGGCGGUGCACUUAACACGUUAGCUACGGCACAGCUGGGGUUGAGACCAGCUACACCAAGUGCACAUCGUUUACGGCAAGGACUAC